UACAGAGGGUGCUAGCGUUGUUCGGAUUCAUUGGGCGUAAAGGGCGCGUAGGCUGCGGGGCAAGUCGGGUGUGAAAUCUCAGAGCUCAACUCUGAAACUGCACUCGAUACUGCUUUGCUUGAGGACUGGAGAGGAGAUUGGAAUUCACGGUGUAGCAGUGAAAUGCGUAGAUAUCGCGAGGAAGACCAGUGGCGAAGGCGGAUCUCUGGACAGUUCCUGACGCUGAGGCGCGAAGGCCAGGGGAGCAAACGGG
This 253-nucleotide ribosomal RNA is filed under the name uncultured bacterium. Its description in RNAcentral is "partial 16S ribosomal RNA". It matches the Rfam family "Bacterial small subunit ribosomal RNA", at positions 524 to 776 of the family's 1533-position model. The record is from RNAcentral.